AAAGCUGAACAGGUUACCCCUUAGGAUGCUGGAUAAAUCCAUCUAGUACUGAUUUUAUGUUUUAUUCCAUUAUUAUCAAUAGCAUCCCAUGCUAGAAGUCCUCGGGGGUGCAUCUAAAAUUGGUGAAGGGUUAAAUGGUUGUUGUAAUGCUA
Long non-coding RNA from Athene cunicularia (burrowing owl), 152 nucleotides. RefSeq lists it as uncharacterized. The record is from RefSeq and is a predicted model, not a curated record. The transcript is spliced from 3 exons. NCBI's taxonomy places the organism in Eukaryota, Metazoa, Chordata, Aves, Strigiformes, Strigidae.